This 497-nucleotide ribosomal RNA is filed under the name uncultured bacterium. RNAcentral describes it as "partial 16S ribosomal RNA". It matches the Rfam family "Bacterial small subunit ribosomal RNA", at positions 28 to 507 of the family's 1533-position model. The record is from RNAcentral.
GAUGAACGCUGGCGGCGUGCCUAAUACAUGCAAGUCGAGCGAACAGACGAGGAGCUUGCUCCUCUGACGUUAGCGGCGGACGGGUGAGUAACACGUGGAUAACCUACCUAUAAGACUGGGAUAACUUCGGGAAACCGGAGCUAAUACCGGAUAAUAUAUUGAACCGCAUGGUUCAAUAGUGAAAGACGGUUUUGCUGUCACUUAUAGAUGGAUCCGCGCCGCAUUAGCUAGUUGGUAAGGUAACGGCUUACCAAGGCGACGAUGCGUAGCCGACCUGAGAGGGUGAUCGGCCACACUGGAACUGAGACACGGUCCAGACUCCUACGGGAGGCAGCAGUAGGGAAUCUUGCGCAAUGGGCGAAUGCCUGACGGAGCAACGCCGCGUGAGUGAUGAAGGUCUUCGGAUCGUAAAACUCUGUUAUUAGGGAAGAACAAAUGUGUAAGUAACUAUGCACGUCUUGACGGUACCUAAUCAGAAAGCCACGGCUAACUACGUG